Molecule: long non-coding RNA, 234 nt
Organism: Poecilia latipinna (sailfin molly)
Lineage: Eukaryota; Metazoa; Chordata; Actinopteri; Cyprinodontiformes; Poeciliidae
Exons: 3
Source: RefSeq, a predicted model, not a curated record
GCAGACCCGUUGCCAUAGCAACCGACAACAAUGCCUCUAAUGUGUCAGGAUUCGACACCAUAAACACGUAAACAUUUCCCAAACGAAGAACAGACCAUUCAGUUUGUCAGAGUAUCACGUUUUCAGGCUUGAUGUCUAUCCUGCGAUAAUUAAUAAAUGAGCGCUGUGGUAGAUUAGUUACCGCUGCUAUUAGCUAAUCUAACACAGCGGUGGCUGAUUAGCUAAACAGGGAGA